UGAGCUAAUUCCGUCAGCGGAUGGAUGCUUGUUCGUGUGUUAGGAUGACCAGAAAUAAAAGUUGUGUUGCCACUUCAUCUGCAUGCAUGCGUGUAUUUAGGUGAAGAUCGGUCCGGGAUGCAUGUGGCUUCUCUGUGUUGUGUUUCAAUGUGUUGUGUUGGAUUCAGUUAGUGUUGGCUUAUCCAGAAAUAUGAGAGGGAGGGAUGCCUGAGCUCUCUCAGCGAUUAGAGCUUCUCGGCCGUCCGAUCGUUUGCCUGGUGCGCUUUCGUCCGUCCGAUCUCGCCGCUGGAUCGUCUUGGCCGUCCAAUAUUUACCACAUCGUCUACAGCCGUCGGAUAUAUUUCCCUAUGAGCGGUGUCCCGCACGGCCGUGCCACCGCGCGUUAUUUUGGUGCCCCGCCGGGGGUAUUUUGGUCAUUUCCCUCCUGCCUAUAGAAGAGGCGCCCGCUACCGUGGGAGAGACCUAGCUCGAUUCCCUCUCUCGCCCGCGCCACCCGUUCCCCUCCUUUCCCUCUCUCGAUCUCUUCUGCAGCCCUCGCUCCCUUCCUUCCCUUCCCUCGCGCCGCCGCUCUCCUCCCUCGUUGCUCUCUCCGGCCUCAUCCGCCACCGCUCCUAUGAGCCUCCCUCCUCCCCACGAGAUCCCUUCUGCUCGAGUCGCCGAGGAGCACCUUCCCCUCCCCGUCCCCAAAGGCAGCUCCCGCACUCAACCCUAACCCUAGACCGCGCGCCCGCCCACCCCCGCUGCCUCGUGGCUUGAGCCCGCCCGCGCUGAUGGAGCCCAAGCAGCUGGCGGCCAACGUCGUCGCCGCCGCCGCCGCCGCCAAGCCGGAGGAGGACAAGGCAGACGAGGAGACGGAGACGGCCGAGGAUGAGGAGGACGCGCUGCUGGACCGCCCGCAGGCCCUCAUCUCCCGCGUCGUCGAGCAGGAGGCCAACCCCAAUCCGUACUUCAUCCACUCACGCGGAUCCGUUGGCUGCGAGUCCGGGCGCGUCGGAUCCGGUGGCCAUGGACCUACAGCUCCUCAAGGUUUGGACUUUCUGAUUUUCGAAUUACAUCAAACCUAUGUCUAGAUUGUAUAUUACACUGCCCAGCGUUAUUACGUUGUCUAGAUGGUCACACUUUUAAUGUUGAAUUGACUUCAGAUCUUCAAACAAAGGAUUUGCAGCAUAUAUAGAUGCAUUAAUGCCAAUCUUUAUCACUCUAAUACGUAUCUACUCCUACCUACUUGAAUCUUCUAUUCCCAGUUAAUUAGAAAAUUUGUUAUUUGUGGACAUCUCCUAAAUACGCAAAUUAAUUUUUAUGUUAACGAGCAGUACGUUCUGUUUUCAUUUGCGACUUGAAGGUCAGCAACGUAAAGUUUGAAUGCAUCUGAAGGCAUAUUCCAUCAUUGAAUAUAUACUAAUAUAAAGGCAGGGUUACAAUUAUGCGCAGGUAGAAAACUCGUCCAUCUGAAGAAUCACAUCCUAAUAGGAAUAGGGACUAUGGAUGACAUGUUGAUAGGAAUCUGAGAUGAUAAAAAAUAGCACUCAUCCAACUGCUAACUGAAUAUGCUGGAAAUUAGCUCGUAGUGACAUAUAUUAUUACUGUAGCAUACUGUCCUAGACUUGCAUAUUCAAAAUUAAUGCAUCUCAUGCAGUAGUGCCAUUUGUCGACACACCAUAUGAUAUAUGAAUGAAACCAUAAAAGUGUAUAUGAAACUGUAUAAUCUGGCACUUGGUUUCAUGCCUCCAGCAAUGUGAUGUCCUUUUUAUGUUAUCAUGGCGUAUUGAUAAUUAAAUGAUGAUUCACUCACCCUUGAUAAUGUCUCCUUCUCUUGAGCUAAGCACAUGCUGUCAACAUAACGGAACAACAUGGAGCUGCAGACAUGCACUUGGAGCACAGGUUGACUCGCAGAUGCGUCUGCAAUCUCCCAAACAAAUGAGUAGCACCGUGCAGUCGUGGGCUUGCAGCAGGUUGGCGGGUGAAUGGUCAUAGCGGGAAUAUAACGGGCAUGUCGACUGCUGCGAGUAUUUCAUUCAAGUUGACAACUACAGUUGCAAGAGGUGUGUUGUUUACUUGGAGAAAUUUUCGAGAAAAUCAUCAAUUUAUUUAGCAUUAGUUAAAUCAGUUUGUCGAGCUGAGCUUUUGAUCUUGAUGGUAGUGAGAAUUCUGAUGGUAGAAAAAUUCUGCUAUUGAGAUGGUUCUUCUGUUUUUUCUAUACUCCUACAAUUCUAAUGCAACAUUGCUUUUUAGUGCUAAAGUACUAGCUUACAUCCUUUCUUUUACCUUUUUCCCUUAAAAAGCCAGGUAGAAGUUCUGUUUAAACACUUGUAUAUAGAAGACUAAGAAAUUCUUUUUGUUCUUCUUGCUGUUGGCUGGUAGCUUUUAGUAGCAAUUUGGAUAAUUCUGUGCAUAAUAUUUUGUUCGAUUUUGGGGCAUGAAAGGUCAGAGAUUCUUUUAUGGGUGGAUCAUGGCCUCCAGAACAAUGCACACUAUACAGUAGCCUGAGAAAAUUGUGGUCGGUGCCUUCAUAUGGUUGUUAAAUUACUGCUCUUUUUCUAUACAGUAGCGGCACACUAUACAGUAGUCUUAUUUCCUCUUGCAUCUCCCGAAGGGGCGCCGCCGCCGGUACCGCCGCUGCUCCCCCGCCCAGCAGCGCCAUCCUCAUAUGACCGCACCACCACAGACAGUGGCCACUCGAAAAAACGGGGGCGAUGAGGAGGCCAGGACCUUGGCACAGACCCGUGCUCCCAGCACCGGAUCCCUCCUCGUCGCAGGGCCAGCCCUCCCGCCGGCUUGGUGGCCCGUGUUUGGGCAGCCGCCGCGGCGUCGUCGUCGGCGGAUGCGGUGGCGGGGGACUGCCACGGCUUCCGGCCGUGGGUUCCGGCGAUGCCAAGCUGUAGAUCUGAGCCGCCGUCUCCAUUUCAUUUCGUCCAUGUUUCGAUCUGGUACCUCCACUCCUCACCACCUCUCCCCCUCUCAUCCACCCGCCCAGCUCCUCCACUUUAAGAUGCAGAUUGAAAGCCAUCAGGCGCUUUGACUUCUAGGGAGCGUUCAUGUGUUGCACUGAUGCCUAUGGUCUGUUAAACAUCACGGUAUUCCUGUCUAAUGGAAUAAACAGGAUAGUAAUCUUGAACAAAUGCUAUACACAGACUCGCUGUAUGCCUCAUAUGCUUCGCCUUUACUGCUUAAUCUCUCACAAGUGACCUCUGCUGCUCAUACUUUUGCCUACUUAAUGCAUGCAUAAGUCUACAAUUCUUUGUGUAUAUAGUGAAAUGGGUGUAUGACAGGUUCUUUGUUUUCAAUUUUGUAGCUUAGGCACUGGGAUCUUCUUUGAAGUAAUUGAAGCUAUCCUAAUUGACAAACUAAAUUCAGUGGGUUAUACUGAGAAUCGAUACUCUGCUCAGUUGUAUUUUUACUGAAACAUGGCAUGUUGUUUUUGUUACUCGUACCAAGGUUCAGGACCUUGAUGAGUUGGCUGAUGAUCCAUGUAGUUUUGACUUACCAUGAUCUGAAUAUGUAUGUCAGUAUACAUGAUUAAGUAAUGGCUAAAUGACUGUGAUGUGUAUGUCAUCUUUAAUUGAAUUUAGAUGCUUAUUCAAUCUGAAUUUAAAUGUUUUAUCAUUCGCCAGGUCUUUGCUUGUGAUUUCUUGUGCUGUAAACUGUAAUUAAUCAUCUUUACCUGUUGUCUAUUAUCCUACAGCUGGGCUCAUGCACUUGGAAUUCUUUGCCACCUGAUAAUUAGUGAAGGUAGUAUAUCUCUGGAUCGUAAUUGGAGUGCCAACUCUUCUAACAGCUGGGUGAGAAAUUAAUGCUUAAUUAUCAUUUAUUUAACUUUAUGCUAACACAUUAGAUUAUCUGGUGAAGCACAUGUUUCAUCUUGCAUUCCCUACCUGUACAGACUAUAGACGGACAAUACAUUAGCUCUAAUCUCAGACACUGAUUAAUUAACUAUAUUACUAAUCAAAUAGUCUGCUGUUUACUGGGAGCUGCUAAUACUACUGGCUUACUCUUUGGAACCUUCGGUUGAUCUAUACAUGUGUAGCUAGCUGCUUUUCUCCAUGGCGCAUUUCGUGUAGAUACGUAGAGAUGUUGAUUAGUAAAUGCAUGCAAACUGAAUUCUGUAUUAGUUUCCAGCCAGUAGCAUCACUGAAACGACGGUUCUUCUCUAUGCGAGUUAAACGGAUUGCUUGGGUGAGAUUUUGUUAGGAUAAUCUCAGAGGUUGCUAGCAAUCAGUAGAGUUACUCAUAGUACUAAUACAUGUGCAAGUUUUCUUUAAUUAAUUUUGGUGCUUCUCCUGAUUGAAGAUGGCCGUGACCAAUAUCAGAACUUCAAAACCCCAUUAAACAUUGUUGGUAUGAAUUGGGCUUGGAAAAUACUCGAUCGAGCAGCUCCUUUGUUCUACAUUUUGGUUCAGCCUUACACACUUCACCAGGUAUAUGAAUUUAUUUAGAUGUAUGUAGAUACUUAGGUGUACAGGGACCCACUGUAUUCCUUUUCUUUUUGUAACCUCACAUUGAAAUAUCUAACUUUUUGUAUAAUGGAUCUUUUCAGAGAAUUGCCACCGCACCUAAAAAACAAUACUUUCAAUUGUAUAAAGAAAUCCAUGUAUGUGUGACAACCUUUACACGAGGUAACACACUGAUCUGCUUUGCUUCACAUGUUAUCGUCCCUGUGCCUACAUUUUCCAAUCUGAUGUGCUAUUACCGCACGUGUGACGAUGGUCGUUUGUGCUGAGGCAGGAGGGCAACAGCGUCGACAUGGCGAUCGAGUCACUCCUGAAUGCGGAGAAGCAGUGUUGCCUGGCUGGCGAUGUGGCCAGCACUAGGAAGGACAUCGUCGAGCUCUCUUUCAAGGAUGGCGCCUGGAAGACGCUUAACUACCAUAUCGUUCUCCUCUCUAAGAGGAGGGGCCAGCUCAAGUAGGUACAGCUAGCCCACCACAGCUCGCUCCUCCUCCCCCCCUUCCUGCUUUUGUCGUGACCAUGGAAAUCAAUUAUCCUCUGGAUUGACUAUGCCUUGCUUACCUUGCAUUGGGCUCAUUUUGCUGAUUGGUCGAGGGCUCGAUCCGCUGCUGACCCAACGCACACACAUGCUCACCUGUUUGUCUCUGUGCCCGUGCAGAGAAUGGCGUCAUCGGGGAGGACGGCAGUGGCGUGCCCGUGUUCGCGGAGUACACCCUCGACGAGCUACACGCCUCCACCGAUGGCUUCGCAACGGACCACAUCAUCUUCGAGCACUGCGAGAAGGAGCCUAAUGCCGUCUACCACGGACCCUCUUCAGCUCUGGCACCACCGUCGCCAUCAAGCGCUUCGACCGCUCCGCCUGGCCUGACGCACGCCAGUUCGUGGUUCGUGCCCCUUGCUUUGGUUUGCUUUGCUUCACGGGGGUGGAUCGUCACCUCGUAUGCACCAUCGUUCGACUGGCCUCUGCUGCGGAGUCUGAACUGAAUUUUGCUGACAUUUUUUUGGAUGCACAGGAGGAGGCUAGGGCAGUUGGGCUGUUGCAGAGCGGUCGCUUGUCCAACCUCAUGGGAUGAUGCUACGAGGGUGGCGAGCGGCUGCUCGUUGCUGAGUUCAUGACGCAUGAUACCUUGGCAGCUGUGAUUCGUAGUGUGGUUAGGGUUUGUUAAGUUUACUAGCUCCUUCAUUGAUGAUGGGUGGCCGGUGGUGCUUUUCUGCCGAGAAUUUAAAAAAUAACUUAUUCCCUGUGUCAUGCGGUUUAUGCAUCUCCUGCCUAUUUCUCUGUUUCAGAUAAUGGUCAUGUUUACACUCGAGUGUGUGAUUUAUGGAGGGGAGGUGCAGUCUAUCUGAAUAUUCAAUUCAUGCUUUGAUCAUGAGUAUAGAACAUUCAAAAUUAGCAAAAGCAAUUAUGCAUAGCAGCAUUGUCAAUCUUGUUGGCUAUGAAACUGCAUGUUUGUUGUUGCGGUAUGGAAAUUUACCAUGCUGCGGCAAUGGGGGUAAACUCUUACGGUGAGGUUUUUUUGUGUACCUGAAGUCCGGAGAUAAAGGUAGGGUACCUGAGGUGAGUCUUCUGCCCUUCCAUGUUUUAUUUUUUUGCGUGUCUUGAAUUUUGUAUUUAAUCAAUGUGAAUUGUUCCAUAACAAUUGCCCUGUUUUGAUUACUGUGAUCGUUAUUUACUGCUUUUGAUGGUCACUACAAAACUCGCCCUUUUUAGACAGGUGCAUCACUUGUUUGAUACAUUUUACAUCCAGGCUAUGAUGUGUUGGGCUCUUUGUUAGCCAUGUUUUGCUCAACUUUUUUUGAAGGAAAUUGCCGCAUCGAAACCAAGAUUUCCUUUUGUUGAUGGCACCAUAAGGUUGUAUUACUUUGAACACGUUUAGUUUGUACAAAGCUUCCUUUUGAUGGCUUGAAACAUGUCACUAAAUCCAGUUGAAUGAAGACACUUAUUAGUAUGCUUAGUAGCUAUGACUCGGUAGUUGUCUCUCCUAUCCUGCUCUUAUUACCCCCUCUCCUAUUAUAGCGCUUUUGGUACCGAAGUUCAUGUCGAGUGGCUGUGCUUUUGGUUUCAAACUUACUAUAAAAUUGAUCAUGCCUUAUAGUGUGACGCCGAUAAUGAGCAUCACUAUGCCUCGCUUUCAUCACAAUUGAAUGUUUCUUCUUCACUGUAUUGUUAUCAUGUAUGAAUGCAUAUGCCGUACCUGGAUUACAUGAAUGCAUAUGUUGUACAUGUAUUAAUACUAACUUUGCAUUACCCGCUUGAUCAAAACGUUGUGACCGGCACCCUCGCGCCAAGGCGCGAUCCCGAUCUAGUGAGACAUGCACGGGAGGUACCGUGCAUAGGUGAGCACUUAAUGCUUUUGGGUGGGAUCCAUGCCACUUUUUCCUCUAAAAGGUUUGAUAUAUUUUUUUUAUCUCUAUACUCUCAUAUUCAUUGAGUGUUGUGUCAAUGCUAUAUAUAUAUACGCGCGCGCGCACACACACACACACACACUAAUUACAGACUCCAAAGAAAUUCUCACGUUAAUUAGAAUUUACGGACCGUUAAUCUGAUGGGAUCAAAUUAUUAUGAUGUAGAUCUUUCGUUAGGUUUUUCAUCACAUUAAACCAUGACAUAUAUCCACAUCCGUAGGAUGACUAGCAUUGUAUCCCUUAAAAAAACUCACCAGCAACCAUGAUCUAUCUACAUCCGUAGAAUGACCUAGCUUAAACCAGUAUAUCGUCGAAAAAACAACGGCAUACCUGUAACAGCCAUGUGCGACAGGAGGACUCCUAUGCUUAUUCUCCAUUAUUCCUAAAAAUAAUAAAAAACCGAUCUGCUAUUACCCUGCCUGCCCCCAAUUGAUUCGUGUGUAUACGCAUUUAUUUCUUGACAACAAAGUUUAUUCCUUUUUUUUUCAUGCGUGCAGUUUAUCCCUAAUUUUUCUCCCCCAAUUUUAACAGUUGGGUCCGGUCUCUAAUCUCUCUCUUCUAUUUAAUCUCUCCAUCCCUGAAUUAAGGUUGGACGGUUGUGUGUAGGGUAAUCUUGUCAGGACCAGAGUCCCUCUGUGCUGAAUUUAAGCACGAACUAGUAGGUUUCAGACAAGAAUUUGGGCGAAUUUAGCUAGGGUUUUCAUUGCAAGAGGAAGGGAAAGUAGUAGCACGCCACCGGCGGCUAGGGUUUACACCCAAUAAUUCUAUUACAUGCCUCGAAUGAAAGGGAAAGCUGGCUUAUAUAGCCAUUACAGUAGCUGUAAAGCAGAAAAGCAGAAAAGUGCAAGCACAUGACUUGUCGGACGGUGAACAGCUUCUCCCGCGUCUUCUAAGCCGUUGGAUGGUUGAUCGAAGAUAAACCCACUUAAGUGAACCGUUAGCUUGGCCCUGAGACCGUAGGAUCUGAGAUGGACGGCUGUCAAUGCAACUGACACGCAGGAACAGGGGAACUUAAGAACUGAGCCUGACAAUACCCCCCGAUUAAGCUGGAGCUUGUCCUCAAGCUCUGAAUGCAGGAAAAGCUUUCUGGAUAAAGGCUGAAUCCUCCCAAGUUGCUUCCUCUGGUGGCAGAUUUGCCCAUUUCACCAACCAUCUGACUACUAGAAUGCUUAUAUUGCCUUGCUUCCUUGGAAUUAGCUUCCUCUCCAGAAUAGUUUCAGGUUCAAUUCUGAUUGUCCCAUCAGGACCAACCAGGGGAAGUUUGGAAGAAGGCACCACCUUGGGUCCAAUAUGCUUUUUAAGCUGACUGACAUGGAAUGUGUCAUGCAACUGGCAAUCUUCAGGCAAGAGCAACUUGUAUGCAUGAUUUCCAAUUUUACUCAGAAUUUUGAAUGGCCCAUAAAACUUGGAGUGUAGCUUAAUGUGCCUGUGCAGACUAAGAGAAGUAUGUAUGUGAGGUUGCAGCUUAAGAUACACCAUUUCUCCCACCAUCAACUCUCUUUCUUUUCUGUUCCUGUCAGCAAAGAAUUUCAUUCUUGCUUGUGCUUUCAAGAGAUUUUGCUUGAUCACUUCCACUGCUAGCUCUCUGUUCUGCAACAGAUCCUCAUUGUCCACACAAAUAGUGUCAGGCAGAGCUGAUUCAGCCACCAUAGGAGGAGCAAAACCAUAAAGAGCUUGGAAAGGUGUCAUUUUCAGAGAUGUAUGGAAAAAGGUGUUAUACCACCACUCAGCUAAGGCCAGCCAUCCAUGUCAUUUCCUUGGUUUUUGGAAGCACAUACAUCUUAAAUAAUUCUCCAAGCACUGAUUCACUCUCUCUGUUUGCCCAUCUGUUUGUGGAUGAUAACUAGUGCUCAGGUGCAAUUUAAUGUUCAGUGACUUGAAAAGCUUUUGCCAGAGAUUACUAGUGAAGAUUCUAUCUCUGUCAGUCACAAUAACUAGUGGCAUGCCAUGAAGUUUAAACACAUUUUCAGAGAAGGCUCUUGCUACAGACUGGACUGUGAUGGGAUGCUUCAUAGCAAUGAAAUGAGAGUAUUUAAUGAACCUGUCAACCACCACUAGAAUCAAGUUUUUGUUCUCUGAAAUGGGCAAACCCUCUACAAAAUCCAUACUAAUAUGUGCCCAUGCAAAAUCAGGAACAGGGAGUGGCUCUAACAGCCCAGGGUAAGGUGUAUGUUCAGAUUUGUUCAACUGGCAGACAGGGCAAUUUUUCACAAAUGUGAUUACAUCUUGCUUCAUUCCUUGCCAAUGAAAUACUAGUUUUAUUCUCUGAUAAGUAGCUCGUUCACCAGAGUGUCCACCCAGCUCAGAGUUGUGAAAUGUAGCUAGUAUUUGCUGCCUCGGGUUAGUGCUUUUUCCCACUACCACCUUAUUGUGAAACCUCAAUAUACCAUUCUUAAAGGAAUAAGCAUUACCAGUGCUUUUAUCCACAGAACACUCAACAAUUAGUUCCUUGAUUUUGCCAUCCUGCUGAUAACUGCUCACUACUUCCUUAACCCAAGUAGGCAAGGCAGUAGUAGUAAAUAUUGCAGAAACUGCAUGUUUUACUCUAGAUAGUGCAUCAGCAGCCCUGUUCUCCUUGCCCUUCUUGUACUUUAUAGUAAAAUUAUAUCCAAGUAACUUUAAUAGCAGCUUGUGUUGGAUACCCUCAGUAAUUUUCUGCUCUUGGAUGUACUUCAAGCUCUCCUGAUCUGUUCUGAUUAUUAGAGAAGUAGUAGAGAAAUAAUGUUUCCAUUUCUUCACAGCUUCAAUAAUAGCCAUAGCUUCUUUGUCAUAAGUACUUAGUGCAGCAGCUUUAGGGCCAAUACUCUUACUGAAAUAAGCAAGUGGCCUGCCCUCUUGCAUUAGUACAGCCCCAAGCCAUAUCCACAAGCAUCAGCUUCCAAUAUAAAUGGCUUUUUGAAAUCUGGCAGGGCCAGGACAGGUGCAUGAGUGAGUUUCUGUUUUAGUGCUUCAAAUGCUUGUUGUUGCUCCUUUGCCCAAGCAAAAGGGUCCUUCUUCAAGCAGUCAAAGAGAGGCCUGCAGAUUAUCCCAUAUCCCUGGAUAAACCUUCUGUAAUAUCCACUUAAACCCAGAAAACUCCUCAAUUCAGUGACAGUAGUUGGAGCAGGCCAUGACUUGAUAGCCACAAUCUUUGUAGGGUCAGUAGAAACUCCUUCAGAGUUAAUGACAUGGCCCAAAUACUCAAUCUCCUUCUGACCAAAAGAACAUUUUUCUAACUUGGCAUAUAACUUAUUUGCUUGCAAUAUAUCAAAUACUUGCUUGAGAUGCUUCAAAUGUUCUUCCAUGGAAAAACUGAACACUAGAAUAUCAUCAAAGAAUACCACUACAAACUUGAGAAGACCAAAUAGGAGAUUCAUUAAAGCCUGGAAUGAAGGAGGUCCAUUAGUAAGUCCAAAUGACAUUACUAAAUACUCAAAUAAUCCCAUAUGAGUUACAAAUGCAGUUUUUGGAAUAUCCUCCUCAACCAUUCUGAUCUGGUGAUAGCCAUUUCUCAAAUCAAUUUUUGAAAAUACUUUUGCUCCUUUGAGUUGGUCCAACAGAUCUUCUAUAACUGGAAUGGGAUAUUUGUUUUUGAUUGUAAUUGCAUUUAACUUUCUAUAGUCAGUACAGAGCCUCCAUGACCCAUAUUUUUUCUUAACUAACAGCACAGGGGAGGAGAAUGGACUAGUGCUGGGCCUGAUAAUACCAUUCUUCAGGAGUUCCAAGAUAAUCUUCUCCAGGAUUUCUUUUUGAUGCUGAGGAAUUCUAUAUGGCCUUUGGUUAACCACUUUUGCUCCCUCUACCAAAGGAAUUCUAUUAUCACAGGGCCUACUUGGUGGAAGUUCAGUAGGUUCCUGAAACAGUUUCUCAUACUGAUCCAAUAGUGGUUUGAAUGCAGCAAGAAUUUCUUGAGCAGCUGCUACCAUUUGAGGACCAGAAGUAGUAAACAAGGAGAAUCCACACACAGCUUGUUCCACUAAUUUCUCAGUGUGGUCAGUUACUUCAGUAACAGUAGUAAGAGGUACAGUUUCAUCCACAAAAGUGAUAAACUGCCCUUUAGGAGCAGAUAUCUUCAUUUCCAUCUUAAUGAAAUCCAUUUGUAUGGGGCUAUAUUUCCUCAACCAAUCUACUCCUAAGAUGAUGUCAUAGCCUUUUAACUUUAGUACUCUGAAGCUGUCAAUAAAUGCAUGGCCUUGUAUUGCAUAGUGACAGUUCUUUGCUUGGAAUUCACUCCAAAGGAUCCCUCCACUAGCAACUACUACUUUAGUUUUUGGUGUAGGACUGGGAACAACAUCCAACUUACUAGCCAUCUGAGGAGAUAUAAAAGUAGUAGUACUGCCACUGUCCACCAGUGCAAUUGCCAGAGUAUUUCCCAAUUUAACUGUCAAUAUGAAAGUAUUUUUAGUUGCUCCAAUGCCCAUGGCAGCAUGCAUUGAUACUUUCAGUACUGUUUCCUCAGUUAGCUGCUCUGUAUUGUCUAGCUCCUGAUCAUCAUAUUCUACCACAAAUAUAGUUUUAGGAGUUCCAUCUUCUUGAGCUUGUAGAGCUUGGAUUUGAGCUUUCUGGUUCAUUUUACACACUUGCCUAUGACCAGGCACCCAAGGCUCUCUACAUUUAUAACACACCUGGUUCUGUUUGGCCUGCUGAAUAACCACAUUCCUGUUUUGUGGUGCAGUUGGAAGCAGUUGUUUGGGCUGUUCAAAAAUGACUUGUCUUUUUGGUUGAGGAACAUACUGCUUAUUUUGCACUGACUGAGAGGAAGGCUGAGAUUUCUUCGUUCUUCUGGCAUACCACACUGCAGUUUGCAGAUCUUUUGGUUUAAAACAUUCCACUAAACUUCUGAUGUAAGGGUUGAGGCCUGAGACAAAGCUGGAGACAUAAUAGUCAUCAGGUAUAGCAGGGUUUUCUCUCCUCAUUCCAUUGACCAAUUGCUCAAAUUGUUCCACAUAAGCAGCCACUGUUGUUGCUUGAUGUGCAGCAUGAAAGUUACUGACCACAUCACAAGCUGAUUCCACAGAGAACCUAUCAGGUAGGUAAGAACAGAAUUUAUGCCAUGGCACAUUGGAGGGUGCAUAUCCAGUACCCCUCCACCACUGAAUAGCAGGUCCUUUAAGAUAAGAAAUUGCCAGUUCUGUUCUAUGUUCAAUGGGAGUUCUUGCAGCAGCAAAAUACUGUUCCAAAUUCUGAAUCCAUGACUCAGGAUCUUGUCCUUCAAAUUCUGAUAUGUUCAACUUAGCAGGCUUAACAGUCAGAACACCUUUUUCUGUAAUAAUUCUCAACUCCAUCUUCUUCCUAUAUUUCCUCCAACUGAACUACAUUUCUCUGCACUGCCUGAAACUGUUCCUUGUCCUUACUCUGACCAUAGUGUGGGUGCCUGUAGGGAACCUUAGGAGUCCCAUCCAUAUUCAGUUCCUUACCAGCCUGAUCACGCAGAACAGCUGUCCCAAUUGGAACAGGGGCAACUUUGUCAGGCAUUGCCACCGAUGGUGGUGUAGGAGCUUGGAGCUGCUUGGGCCUACCCGGAGCUACCCGAGGUGAGUUAACUUGGUUGUCCUUAACCUGCACACUGCCUUGACCUUCUUCAACCUGAUCCUCCUGUGCUGGCUCGGAUUCUAACAACAGACGCCUGAAAUUAUCCUGAAUUUUCUCAAAGUUCUUUUGCAUCGUUGCAAAAUUUCUGUUUACAGAUGCCUGAAACUGCUGGAACUCCUUGCGAUCCUCUUCUCUCUCCCGCUGGAGCGUUUUGAUGUCCAACUCAAGGGAAUCCAGCUGCAAUUCGGCCGUUGACCCUGAAUCCACCGGGCCCGUCAUCUUAAAAUCGUCGGCAAUCAACACCAUAGAGGGUUGGGAGGGUGGGAGGACUAGUCACCGCCGCCUACGCCGCCGCCAGCGCCCGCCUCCGAUGGUACACGAGCAGAUCACAGGAGCUGGGAUUUCACUACCCGAAAAGUGUUCCCGGGCAACCAGACUAUUCUUCUGCUUGUACCCGAACUCUGCCACUCCGGCCGCCACCAGAUGCCGCCAGAUCGGGGUGAGAUGAGGGAUUUUACAGUCGGAACCAACCUCUUCUACCCCCAAUCAACCACGCCGCCGAGGAAGGACUGGCUCACGAUACCAAUUGUCAGGACCAGAGUCCCUCUGUACUGAAUUUAAGCACGAACUAGUAGGUUUCAGACAAGAAUUUGGGCGAAUUUAGCUAGGGUUUUCAUUGCAAGAGGAAGGGAAAGUAGUAGCACGCCACCGGCGGCUAGGGUUUACACCCAAUAGUUCUAUUACAUGCCUCGAAUGGAAGGGAAAGCUAGCUUGGUUGAUCAAUUCGAGGACUCCCAUGCGUGCCUACUUCGUGAUGCUAGCUAUAUGUUGCAGAAGUCAGAUGCUAGGCAAAACUAUUAUAUCAUACUAAGUUCUAAAAUUAAUCUUGAAAGAGAAUAAGCUAAUGAUGUUGAAGAUUAUGCAGUUCCAGUGCCUGGAAGACCAUAUGGUAUUUUCCGAGCCUAUGUCUAUGAAUCAAACAUUGAUGGCAACGACGCAUGCCAAAGUCCUGCAUCCUGUAUCGAGAACAGCGCGAUGGGCGUGUGAAGCCGUGAGCCUACGAAGCCCAACAGAGACAAUGGCACGAGCAAUAUAAUUAUGAUUUCAUGAGAAGAAAAAAGCACAAUGUGUGGGCGGCAUGACCGUGGAGUCCGGCCAGCCAGCAAUCGUGGCAUGCGCCACCAUGGACCAGCAGUCCGUUUAGCCGCUAUGGCAGAGAUUAGCUCUGGCACGAGCGAGUGCAGUUGCAAGCAGCAGUACGGCUUGUUAGUACUAAUCUUGAUGCAUAUAGUUAGUUGGUUAGUGGAUUAGACUAGUUGUUAGUUGCAUGCAUAGGUUAGUGCAGCAGGUGCCGUUGUGAUCUGUUGGACGUUGGCCGCGUCGUGCGUGCUGGCCGAGCGGAUCGCUCGCAUGCAGGCUAGGUGUGCGUGGGUGCAUGCACGGUGGAAACUUGGGUGUUGCGUAGCUGCUGUACUACAAACCUGGUUGGGCUGUUCAUGCUUGUAUAGAGCCGGGUUGUGAGCCAUGUAGCCGAGUGGCUGAGUUUGUGCUCAGGUAAGGAAAUACACAAGGACGCCGUACGUGCGGCGGGCGGAGUUCGUGCUCCGGCAAAACACUUGUGUACUUGCGUCUCCCUUCUUCUUCUACCUCGGUCCGCUGCAGAACAAGAGAGCUGCGAGAGGUAGGCGAGAGCUAGGACUCGACGGCAACAACACGGCUGCCGCGCGCUGUCGACGGUGAGUUGGUCCAGCCGUCUGCAACGACGCCUUGAAGCACAGCCUCCGUGAAUGUCAUAUACCACUGGUAGAAAAAGAGGCUUCCGUCCAGCCCCAUUAGUCGCGAAACUGUAGGAACCGCGACUAAUGAAGUCUUUAGUCGCGGUUCGGCAGACGAACCGCGACCAAAGGCCUGGGCCCAGGGCGCUCGGUGGCCAGCUGAUGCACGUGAGGGGCUUUAGUNNNNNNNNNNNNNNNNNNNNNNNNNNNNNNNNNNNNNNNNNNNNNNNNNNNNNNNNNNNNNNNNNNNNNNNNNNNNNNNNNNNNNNNNNNNNNNNNNNNNNNNNNNNNNNNNNNNNNNNNNNNNNNNNNNNNNNNNNNNNNNNNNNNNNNNNNNNNNNNNNNNNNNNNNNNNNNNNNNNNNNNNNNNNNNNNNNNNNNNNNNNNNNNNNNNNNNNNNNNNNNNNNNNNNNNNNNNNNNNNNNNNNNNNNNNNNNNNNNNNNNNNNNNNNNNNNNNNNNNNNNNNNNNNNNNNNNNNNNNNNNNNNNNNNNNNNNNNNNNNNNNNNNNNNNNNNNNNNNNNNNNNNNNNNNNNNNNNNNNNNNNNNNNNNNNNNNNNNNNNNNNNNNNNNNNNNNNNNNNNNNNNNNNNNNNNNNNNNNNNNNNNNNNNNNNNNNNNNNNNNNNNNNNNNNNNNNNNNNNNNNNNNNNNNNNNNNNNNNNNNNNNNNNNNNNNNNNNNNNNNNNNNNNNNNNNNNNNNNNNNNNNNNNNNNNNNNNNNNNNNNNNNNNNNNNNNNNNNNNNNNNNNNNNNNNNNNNNNNNNNNNNNNNNNNNNNNNNNNNNNNNNNNNNNNNNNNNNNNNNNNNNNNNNNNNNNNNNNNNNNNNNNNNNNNNNNNNNNNNNNNNNNNNNNNNNNNNNNNNNNNNNNNNNNNNNNNNNNNNNNNNNNNNNNNNNNNNNNNNNNNNNNNNNNNNNNNNNNNNNNNNNNNNNNNNNNNNNNNNNNNNNNNNNNNNNNNNNNNNNNNNNNNNNNNNNNNNNNNNNNNNNNNNNNNNNNNNNNNNNNNNNNNNNNNNNNNNNNNNNNNNNNNNNNNNNNNNNNNNNNNNNNNNNNNNNNNNNNNNNNNNNNNNNNNNNNNNNNNNNNNNNNNNNNNNNNNNNNNNNNNNNNNNNNNNNNNNNNNNNNNNNNNNNNNNNNNNNNNNNNNNNNNNNNNNNNNNNNNNNNNNNNNNNNNNNNNNNNNNNNNNNNNNNNNNNNNNNNNNNNNNNNNNNNNNNNNNNNNNNNNNNNNNNNNNNNNNNNNNNNNNNNNNNNNNNNNNNNNNNNUGUUGAAGAAUAUGUUUCCAAAGGAUAACGAGUUGCCCGCCAGUACGUACGAAGCAAAGAAGGUUGUCUGCCCUCUAGGUUUAGAGGUUCUGAAGAUACAUGCAUGCAUCAACGACUGCAUCCUCUACCGCGGUGAAUACGAGAAUUUGAAUGAAUGCCCGGUAUGCACUGCAUUGCGUUAUAAGAUCAGAGGCGAUGACCCUGGUGACGAUGUUGAGGGCCAGAAACCCAGGAAGAGGGUUCCCGCCAAGGUGAUGUGGUAUGCUCCUAUAAUACCACGGUUGAAACGUCUGUUCAGGAACAAAGAGCAUGCCAAGUUGUUGCGAUGGCACAAAGAGGACCGUAAGUCGGACGGGGAGUUGAGACACACCGCAGAUGGAACGCAAUGGAGAAAGAUCGACAGAUGGUUCAAAGAUUUUGCAGCUGACACAAGGAACAUAAGAUUUGCUCUAAGUACGGAUGGCAUGAAUCCUUUUGGCAAGCAGAGCUCCAGCCAUAGCACCUGGCCCGUGACUCUAUGCAUCUACAACCUUCCUCCUUGGUUGUGCAUGAAGCGGAAGUUCAUUAUGAUGCCAGUGCUCAUCCAAGGUCCGAAGCAACCCAGCAACGACAUCGAUGUGUACCUAAGGCCAUUAGUUGAUGAACUUUUACAGCUGUGGGGUGGUGUCCGUGUGUGGGAUGAGCACAAACAAGAGGAAUUUGACCUACGAGCGUUGCUUUUCGUAACCAUCAACGAUUGGCCUGCUCUUAGUAACCUUUCGGGACUGUCAAAUAAGGGAUACAAUGCAUGCACGCACUGCUUACAUGAGACUGAAAGUGUACAUUUGCCAAAUUGUAAGAAGAACGUGUACCUUGGGCAUCGUCGAUUUCUUCCGAAAAUUCAUCCAGUAAGAAAGAAAGGCAAGCAUUACAACGGCAAGGAAGAUCACCGGCCGAAGCCUGCGGAACGCACUGGUGCUGAGGUAUUUGAUAUGGUCAAGAUUUGAAAGUCAUCUUUGGAAAGGGUCCUGGCGGACAAUCAGUUCCGAAGGGAGCUGACGGGCACGCAGCCAUGUGGAAGAAGAAAUCUAUAUUCUGGGAGCUAGAAUAUUGGAAAGUCCUAGAUGUCCGCUCUGCAAUCGACGUGAUGCACGUUACGAAGAAUAUUUGCGUGAACCUCCUAAGCUUCUUGGGCGUGUAUGGGAAGACAAAUGAUACAAAGGAAGCACGGCAGGACCAGCAACGUUUGAAAGACCCUGAUGACCGGCAUCAGGAAUGGUUUCAAGGUCGUGCCAGCUACGCUCUGACCAAAGAAGAGAAGGUCAUCUUUUUUGAAUGCCUGAGCAGUAUGAAGGUCCCGUCUGGAUUCUCGUCCAAUAUAAAGGGAAUAAUAAACAUGGCGGAGAAAAAGUUCCAAAACCUGAAGUCUCACGACUGCCACGUGAUUAUGACGCAAUUGCUUCCGAUUGCUUUGAGGGGGCUCCUGCCGGAAAAUGUUCGAGUAGCCAUUGUGAAGCUAUGUGCAUUCCUCAAUGCAAUCUCUCAGAAGGUAAUCAAUCCAGAAGUUCUACCACGGUUACAGAACGAUGUGAUCCAAUGCCUUGUCAGUUUCGAGUUGGUGUUCCCGCCAUCCUUCUUCAAUAUUAUGACGCACCUCCUGGUUCACCUAGUCGAAGAGAUUUUCGUUCUCGGUCCUGUAUUUCUACACAAUAUGUUCCCCUUCGAGAGGUUCGUGGGAGUAUUAAAGAAAUAUGUUCGUAACCGUGCUAGGCCAGAAGGAAGCAUCGCCAAGGGCUAUGGAAAUGAGGAGGUAAUUGAGUUUUGUGUUGACUUUGUUCCUGACCUUAAGCCGAUUGGUCUUCCUCGAUCGCGGCACGAGGGGAGACUAAGUGGAAAAGGCACGAUCGGAAGGAAAUCAACGAUAUGUAUGGACGGCCAUUCUCUGACUGAAGCACACCACACUGUACUGGCCAAUUCCAGCUUGGUGGCUCCGUACUUUGAGAAACACAAGAAUAUUUUACGCUCGGACAACCCGGGGAAGCCUGAAUCCUGGAUUAGGAAGGCCCACAUGGAGACUUUCGGCAGUUGGUUGAGAAAACAUUUAAUGAAUGACAAUGAUGUUGUAGAUCAGCUGUACAUGUUGGCCAAGACACCAUCUUCGACUAUAACGACUUUCCAAGGGUACGAGAUAAAUGGGAAUACAUUUUACACGAUCGUCCAAGAUAAAAAGAGCACCAACCAAAACAGUGGUGUCCGCUUUGAUGCAGCAACCGAGAAUGGGCAAAAGGUCACAUAUUAUGGUUACAUAGAGGAGAUAUGGGAACUUGACUAUGGACCCUCCUUUAAGGUCCCUUUGUUCCGGUGCAAAUGGUUCAAGCUAACAGGAGGUUGGGUAAAGGUGGACGAGCAAUACGGAAUGACAAUGGUGGAUUUCAACAAUCUUGGUUACCUUGACGAACCAUUCGUCCUUGCCAAAGAUGUCGCUCAGGUUUUUUAUUUGAAGGACAUGAGUAGCAAACCGAGGAAACGGAAAGAUAAGAAAACGAUCAGUACAUCAUGCGAUGAUCCAAAGCGCCACAUUGUUCUUUCAGGGAAAAGAAACAUCGUGGGAGUGGAGGACAAGACAGACAUGUCAGAAGAUUAUAAUAUGUUUGGUGAAAUUCCGCCCUUCAAAGUGAACAUUGACCCAAGCAUUAAGUUAAAUGAUGAGGAUGCUCCAUGGAUACGGCACAAUCGUAAGCAAGCAGGGACACAAGGGAAGAAUUGAUGUGUAAUAAUUUAUUGUACCAAACUUUGUAUUUGGUCGAUGAACUGAAUGAUGUAUCAAACCUUUUGUCAAACCUUCAAGGGGUUUUAAAAUGAAUUAGUUUUAUUUUUCUGAUUUUUUUGAUAUAUAAUUGUAUUUUUAAGAUUUUAAAAUGAAUUAGUUUUAUUUUUCUGAUUUUAAAAGGAAAAAGGAAGAAGAAGAAAGAAGGAAAAAGGAAGAAAAAAACAGAAGAAAAAAACAGAAGAAAAAAGGAAAAACAGAAGAAAAAAACAAACAGAAGAAAAACAUAAGAAAAAAACAGAAGAAAAACAAACCCCCCGCCCUGCACAUGGGCCAUCCCGACCCCACAUAUGUUCGUCUCCAUCCGCAUCCCUGGCCAAACCCUAGCCACUCUACUCCAAGCUCUGUUCGGACAAUUUGUUUAUACGGAGAGGGGCGGCGAGGGGGGCGGCGAUGCGCGCGGUGUUUUUUUAGGGAUCGAGAGGGGACGGCGAGGGUUAUAAAUGUGUUGUCCUCGCCUCCCCUCUCCGUGACGCCGUCGUCUGCCGCCCCGUCUCGCGCUCUACCGCGACACCCUCUCCCACCCCUUCCUCGCCCCCUCCUUUCGCCACCGCCCUUUCGCCACCGCCACCGCCACCGCCCCCCUUCUUCACUUAAUUAAUUUGUUUUUACUACAUGUUUUCAGGACUGACAUAAUGGCGGACGAUAGAGCUGACCCGAUUAUGGACAACUAUGAUCCGGACGGUGAAGCACAUAUGUUCGGCAUCAUAAACGGCGAUAUUCUAUAUGUGCCGACCGGAGAAGAAGAAGAUGAUAUCUCUUCUUAUCUGAACCUUGACGGUGAAGAUGAAGGGCGCCGUCAGCAAGAUGAUGCCGAACAAACGUUGAUAAACGACGAUCUUCAAAUGGAAGUAGCAACCACCUCCGGCGCCGAGGUAUAUAUAUACAUUGAGCCUCUGGUGAUACAAACUAACUGAUUUGAAUAAAUAUGUGUGUACUAACGCGCGCGACUCUUUCUUAUUUUAGCCCUCGACCGGAUCGUCGAAACAAUCGAGUACGUCGUCAAAGCGUGGCGCAACCAAGACGAUGAAACAAGGAGAAACAUGCACCAUCGAGGUUGUCGACAGUGCAACCGGCAGGCCGCUGGAGCCCCGCAAGAACGCCACCAAGUUUGUCAGCCAAUGCGGAGCCAUUGUUAGAGACAACGUCUCGAUCACCGUCCAGGAGUGGAAUGAGCCAAAGAAGGCACGAAUUGAUGGUUUCACUUUUGUCGAUAAGAGAACAAAAAAAGAUUGCUUCAAGAAGCUUAUGGAACAUUUCGUUCUACCUCCGGAAUACAACAAAUUCGAUGAGGAGGGUAACAAGAUUGAGGAAAACAAGGAGAGGAGGAGGCUAGUCAAACAGUUCGCUCUUCAUAAGAUGGCCGACGCAUUCCGGAAAUUCAAGCAAAAUCUAGCCCAUGACUUUGUCAAGCAGAACAAGACUCCGGAUUUCAAAGGACAAUAUGAGAAACUGAAACAUGAUUGGCCAGAAUUUGUGAAGCAAAAGAAAUCGGAGCAGUUCAUUCAAAUAUCGAAAAAAAAUAAGGAAAAUGCGGCUAAGAAGGAGUACAAUCAUGUUAUGGGGCCAGGAGGGUAUCGCAUUUGGGUGCCUAGGUUGGAGAAGAUGGAGAACGAGCUGAGGGCGCGAGGAAUCCGUCCAGGUACGGAGGGAUGGGACCUAAGGGCCAAAAGCUGGUGGUACGGGCAUGGGGGAACGCUGAACCCGGAGACAGGGGAGUGUGUUUACCGGGGCAAAUUAAUUAAACCCACCCAAGCCCUUAUUAACGCAAUGAGGGAUGCUCAACAGGGGAAGAUCAAGUUCAACAGAGAGAACGACGCGCUGACAAAAGCCCUCGGGAAUCCUGAACACGGAGGACGUGUACGAGGCAUGGGGCACAUUCCGUGGAAAAUAGGGUUCCCCCAGAACGAUGACCCGUACGGUUACAGAAGCCGUAAGAGAAAGAUGGAUCGGGAAGCAGAUGUUGUGGCGCGGUUGGCAUCGGAAAUGGAUGUGAUGAAGAAAACCAUGAGUGUACUAGUAGCCGAAAGAGAUGCAGCUCGGGUGCAGCAUGAAGAUCAUCCAGCGGAUCUCGGAAGCCAGCAGCGGAGAAGCAGCGUGGCUUCCACGGAGGCCCCACCGGCUGGUGCAGAUGCACCGACGAUCGAAAUUACUGCACCGGAGCCUCUGGUGGUCCAAAUUACUGCACCGGAGCCUCUGGUGGUUGAAAUUACUUCACCGGAGCCUCCUCGCUACCCCGUGGACGAUAUAAAGGAGAUGAAAGAAUGUCAUCUGUAUUAUCCUAUCGGGAACAUGUCCAUGAAGGUAGCCAUCGGCAGUGCUUUACCAUGUUUACCUGGAGCACUCCACCACAACAACCCCAUUCAAGAUGGCUAUGCUCGUGUCACGGUGGAGGACAUAGUCCAAGGGUUUGAGGACCUGGAGAUUGACAUUGCUACACCUGAAGGGGAGAAAAGACUUGGAGAUGUCAAGCGCCAUUUCAUUCUAUGGCAAAAGAAGUUUAUCAAGUUUCCAGGCGAGGCGCCAAGGACAACAAGUCCACCCCCCUACGGUGGUGGUGGUGGCGGUGGCGGUGGUGGUGGUGGUGGUGGUGGUGGCGGUUCACCUACACCUCCGUCACGUCAGCCGACGCCGCCCCCCAGUCCACAACGUCCGGCGGGUGAUCAGCCGCCGCCCCCCAGUCCUCGUCCGGCGGGUGAUCAGACGCCGCCCCCCAAUCCACCUCCGGCAAAGAAGCAGAAGCAGUCCUGGAUUAUUAACCCGGACCCUUAUGUACCUAAGACCACAAAGGUACCGGAGCCAUCACUGAAGCCUCUCCCCACAAGGCCUUGGGAACGUAGUGCCGAGGAAGUCGACGCGGCCGCGGCUGCUGAUUUGGAGAAAUGGAAGGCGGACUGCAAGAAGAAAAGAGAGCCCGAGCCCAAGCCAGUAUUUUCUGAUGAGCAAAAGAAGUGGGCUAAGUCAUUUUUGAGCACACCGUCCCAAGCCGCGAAGAAUCUGACUAACGACUAUGCACGUGAACUUCGCAGGCAGGCACUCAUGUUCAAGGAGAACAAAGAGCGGGAGAAGGCCGAAAGUAAAAAAAGCGGGAAACAAGUUGCCCAGCUCGGGGAACAAAGUAAACAAUCGAUUGCCCCGCUUAUAGUGGAAGCCUUCUGUCCGGAUGCCCCCGAGAUCAUACAAGCUGCGGCAGCACAGGGAUUGACUGUAACGAGUGCCAGAGAACAAGCGGCCAACUUAGGUAUUACUCUUCGUGAACUGUUAGGCCUUGAUGAGGCGCCAGUGAAGGAGGUAGUAAUUACAUAUGUCAAGAAUGGGCCUCUCGUCGAGCCUGCGCAAGAAAAGGAUCUACCUCCACAAAUGAAAGGUCUGCUGAAAUGGUACAAGGGUUACAUAAAAAAUAAAAACGCCAAAGAAUAUAUUUAUGCGGAAGUUAGACAUGAGCAUCACUUCAAACAUUACUAUGUACAAAUUGAACUGAGUGAAUUGUUCCAGCUUUUCAAUCUGCGCGAGCUCGAUAAAUCUAUCAUCAGUUGCUACGUUCUGUAAGUGAUUUAUUAAUUUCUACCCCAUCUCGUUCAUAUUGCCUGCACUAUAUAUAUGUCCUAACUAUAUUGUUGUGUCCGCUAUUAUACAUGUAGAAUGAAGAUUAAGGAAUGCAGAGUAAGGAACAUCCAUGAUGUUGGGUUCAUUGACCCACACAUCGUUAAUGGACAUGUGUUGGAGCGUUACCCCGCCGACAUGGAGGCAGACCUGUGGCAGUUUCUUACAAAGCAGGAACUCAAAAGUGAUAUUCUAUUUCCUUACCAUUUUGAGUGAGUGUUUCUGUCUUGAGAACAUUCUCUUUUGUUUACUCCAUGCAUGGUAUGUGGCCGGCUAAUCGAUGAGUUAUGCAUGACGUACUGUGCAUGUAUCGUGUCCGCAGGUUCCACUGGAUUCUGCUAGUAAUUAAAGUUAACACCUCAGAAUGUCUCGUCCACGACUCUGUGAAUAUGGAUCCAAAGCUUUGGGGCGGCAUGAGAAGAAUGCUGCAGAAGUAAUUAUUUUCAUUCAUUUGCGCUCUAUAUCGAUCGGCCUAUUUCGUUCAUUUCCUAAUAUCAAGUAACUAAUUAAUAACUCUCUUGUUCAUUUAAUUUUCUUUGCCUCGUAGGGUUUGGAGACGGUUCGUAGAUACAAAGGUCGGUGAAUUCAAAAAAGAGCUAGAAUUCAAAAUGUUAAAGGCUAAGAAUGCUGGGGAUAUUCAGCCACCGGAGACCAAUCUAUGUGGAUACUAUGUCUGUGAGAUGAUCCGGAGAUACACCUCUGAGCGGGUUCCGAGUGAUACCAAUGCUAAGAGGAAUAACCUCCGGUGGAUGCUUAAUCCAGAAGCUCGCUUCCGACCACUUCAAGAGGAACUAGCUGGAUGGUUCAGCAGGGAAGUCCUCCAUCCUAAAGGAGAACACUAUUACGAGGACGUAGAACUUUAUAUGCAUUAAAUCAUGUAUGGAAACUUGUUCAAAAUUGUAUAUGGUCAUCCGAUGAUAUUGAAUAUAUAUUGUAUAUUCCUCUUGAAUUCUUUUUGGUUCUAAUUUCAAAUUUAUUUGAAAUUGUACAUUCAUAUGCAUGUAUGUAGUACCGUAGAAUAUAUGAAACUCCUUCAAAAUUAAAAUAAAGCACAAAAGAAAUAAAACAAUACAAAUUAAACAGAAAACAGGUUUAAGGGGGGGGGGCUAAAACCCUAAACCUGCGGCGGCCUUUAGUCGCGGUUGGCCAGAAGAACCGCGACUAAAGGUCCUCCGCCCCGACGGCCACCUGGCGCCCACGUGGACGGGCCUUUAGUCGCGGUUUUUAAGCAACCGCGACUAAAGGGGGGGGGGGCUUUAGUCGCGCCCGUUCGGUCGCGGUUGCGCAACCGCGACUAAUGGCAGUUGCGAACCGCGACCAAAGGCCCUUUUUCCACCAGUGUACUCCUGUCAGCCAACGCAACAAUGUGUCGUGCUUCCACCAUGGACGAGCCGUCAGACAGGCUGCCAGCAACGAGCUGCUUCGGCGCUGCGUCACACCGUUUGGCCGCCAUUGUCGAGGCCUUUCGGCAUGGCCACCAUAUACGCAAUGCAAAAUAAGACCUAAUCCACAUGCCUGUCAGAAUCGAGAAUCACCUUUUUGGGAUUGAGAAUAGACGGGAAGUGGGAUUAGCGUGCUUUGAGAUUGUCGAGGCCACCUGGCGCUCAUCCAGUAGGGUCUCACGUCCUUGCCUAUGAAUCAUUUAAGCUGCUUGGGAAGUCAGCUUACCUACAUGUAAGUGCCUUUCUGUGCAAUGUGAGUUACACCCUGUGCCCAAUGGCAAAAUCCUCACUUCGCGCUGUCAAUAUCCGCCGUUCUGAUUCUUUUCUAUUGCCUAAUGUCGCUAAAUCUAAUGGUCUUCUUCAGCUUCUCCGGGUGGAUUGCCUAUUUCCUAUUGAUGUUGUUGGCACUCAUAUCAAGUAUACCUGCUCUCCAAUAGAUGUAUUGUUUUAUCUCUAUAACUGAUUAUGAAUGAAACAGGCAAUGUAUUACGUGCAUGCCUCAUGGCUAUGUAUUUCUAUACCGACGGUGUUGCCAUGUAGCCAGAUUUAUGGCAUGAGAAGGUAAAACAUAGUAUUAGUGAAGGAUUUACCAGAAACAUUGUUACAUGAACAUUGUCAACUACCAGAAAUUAUAUACAUUUAUGUAUUAAUAGGCCAUUUUUCUUGGUGCAUUUUGAUAGUAUGUUCUGUUGACAUCCAUGAUGAAACACGAUGAUACAAAAAAUAUGUAGAUAUACUUUUCUUUGAGAUUAGGCUGUCACAUUAGACAAUUUGCCAAGAUUGUUGUGUACAAGUGUGGUCAAAUUAUGUGCAAUUAGUCAGUGCUAAUUUGUUCGUGAAAUUCAUAUAUUGGCAUCAGAUUAUACAUGCGUAUCAAUUUAGCACAAAUUUACCAAAUGAAGUUUAAUAAGAUUAUGAUUAUUUUAAGCAUUUUCCACAACGCAAACUAUUGAAGAAUGAUUUUGGUUAUACUAAUAUGAGAAUGUACAACAACCCUGCGAAUUCUGCUGCAAAUAUAUACUUAUGUACAUAUAGACUAGAAAAAAUUGACGACGACCGACAACUUCGACAAUAUUAGUAAUCAACAAGUUUCUUGCUAUAUUAUAUUCGUGAAUAAACAGAGCGAUACAGAAAUCUAUGGAGCAGCACUAAUUUUUGAGCUUUUGUCGGUUGCUAUCAUCAUCAAAGAUGACUUUGGUCACAACAUCAUUUAAUGAGAAGAUUGCAACUUUUUGUACAUUUAACAAUAUUGUACACAAGCACGGUAUCUUGCAUAUUUUUAGUGCUAAAUUAUUCAAGAAUUUAAUGUUAGCAUCAGUUUAUAUGGUGCAUAAAUUUUAGAAUCGGCUUGACUUGGUGUAUUAAUUUGUCAAAGAAAAGAUGAUAAUUAUCUACUGCCGUUUUUUACAACAACACAAGCUAUUGCAUGAUGAUGUUGAUUCUACUAAGAUGGAACAACCGUAGUAGUACUAUAACCGAAUGUGAAGCAUCUAAGUUACUAUAUUCUACAGAUAAAUGAAACAUUUACUUCACAUGGUACACAAAUAAGUAUAAAGCCAUCCCAGUUGGUUGCAAAAUGAAAUUAAAUAUAUCACUGCAUAACUUUGAUCAUAGUUCGAAGUUAAAAUGAUUAUUUGAUAACUUCAACUACAAUUAAUUUUUGUGGGCCAAGCUGUGCGAAUGCACGGGUUGACGACUAGUAUUUCUAAAGAAAAUACAGAUGUGUGUGCACCUUCCACAAACACAUGCAUUGCCAUAUAAAGAUACUAAAAUAUUCAAAUGUUUAUCAUAAUGUUUUAUUAUUUUUCAAAAGGAAAAACAACCAUACUAUUUUACAGUGGUUUAUCUGUUCGAGAUCAUAUCAUAAAGUUUCAUUCAGUGUCAAUACACUGAAAACUUAUCAGGUUUUUCGUGUUCUAGAUUGCAUUAUUAUGUUUCAUAGAGUUUCAUCAUGUUCUGAAAUAUUAUAUUGCAUUAUUAUGUUUCAUAGAGUUUCAUCAUGUUCUGAAAUAUGAACUUUAAAACCACUCAAAAUAUAUUCAACGGCAGUUUUGUUUCCAAGUCCUAAUCGCGAGGAACUCAAAUAGCAAUUGUGUGAUUAAAAAAAUAAAAUAGAUUGAAGCUUUGAAAUUAUAUGAAAAAAUAUGAAUGGGCGAGGUAUUAUUGUGCGUCAGGGAUAUAGAAGAGAGGUUGCUAAUGUAUGGCAUAUUUUGUGACUGAUUGAUGUGACUUGAGUGGGGACCAACAUGCAUGCAUCUUCAAUAGAAUGCACGGCUGAAUCAUGUCACAGGUCUCCGGUGCAGGGUAGAAUUUCUUUCGUCGGUGGCUUGUCUCUUGUUUUUACAUAAGGAUCGGAUCUAUUAUGAUAAAGAUUCACUGGAUUCCGUACAAAGCACCUCUAAAAUAAUAAUAAAAUAUAUCAAGGUCCACAGACCCGAACGACCGUUGCUGCCGCUAGGACGAGACGACGUGUCCCUGUCUUUGCGUCAUAGCCAGCCUGACCUUGUCAACGAUCUUGUCAACGGGAAGUCUUCAUACAAGUGUCCCUAAAUAUCAUCGCCAUGUAGCCAUCGUUGAUUGCCUAGACAAAUCUACUUCGCUUGUCUAUUAAGGGAGCAAAAAGUUCUCUUUUUAUUUAAUUUUAUAAGGUGGAAGUUUAGGACCAAACCAAUUUAAUUGUAGUAUUUGUUUCGUCUUCACGUGUUCUUAGUAACGAAAAUGGAAAGGAAAAAAACGAGAUGUUUCUUGAGAAAUGCCAGGGGGCUAGAGAAUGCAAUGUAUUCGGGCCGUCUUCUCUCCUUUUGUUAUUUACUAGGACAAUGUCUGUAGGUUUAUUUUUGGGAUAAAGGGAGUUUUGUUUCUGUGUAAUAGUGUUACAGUCAAGAGGCCACAAAUUCUUAGUACAAGGUGGAGCCCAGACCAACCGCACAGUAGUUGUACUCUCGGUACGGCUAUAUUUGGCCAGCCGAUCUGCAACUCGAAGAAUUUCUGAGAAUAAAACUCCCUAAUGCACAUUAACUCUUUGAUCUACGAAGAAUUUUCUGAGGAUAAAACUCCCAACCGCACCUUAACUCUUUGAUCUACGAAGAAUUGUCUAAGGAUAAAACUCCCUAAUGCACAUUAACUCUUUGAUCACCCGAGCCAAAGAACCGUACGCAGAAGGUUCCAGUCCACUGUUUGACAAGCAAGAUAGUGCUUCCCACGAGUCUGACUGAACGAUAACCGGAAGUAUAAAUAAUGCCAGUAGGUUACAAUGAAUAUAAAUAAUCUAUUAUGAUAGACCAUGAUUUACCUGUCUAUAAUACAACUGUUUUCUUAGGGGAGGCUAUUAAUACAAUUGUGUAAAUAAAUUUUUGGGUUAUAAAUAAUCCAUUACGUUAAAUUGUGAUUUGCCUAUAUAUAUUAAGACAAUUAUGUAAUAAAUGUUUAUCAAAUCUUCUUCGUGAUUUACCUUAUUUUGAUAAGAAGUUUUGUAAGUAAACUAAAAUUAAAUUGGUUCAGAAGAUAAAUAAAAUUAAAAUGAUUAAUUAUCAUACGGGGAGGUUAGACGAAGGGGUCAGGAAAAGAAAAAUGAAACAUUGACACCUUUAGAUAGAUAGAUAUAGAUAUAAGUAUAAUAUAGAUAGAUAGAUAUAGAUUAUACCAGGCCAUCUGUCGGGUCGGGCCUACCAAAGCCCGAUGCAAAAAAACCUAGGCCCGAGCCCGGCCCAUCAGUCAAAAAGCCCGGCGGGUCUCAGGCCACGGGUCGGGCCUCUUCCUUAAACGAUGAAUAUGUCAGGCCCGAGCCCGGCCUGGCCUGACUGUCGGGCCUAAAAAUCAAGCCCAAGCCCAGCCCGUGGGCAAGGUCGGGUCGGGCCGUCAGGGCCGGGUUGCCCAUGGCCAAGUAUAAUAUAGAUAUAGAUAUAGUAUAGUAGAUAGAUAGAUAGAUAGAUAGAUAGAUAGAUAGAUAGAGACUAUGGACUAUGGACUUUUUCCCUUCUAGUCAAGGAUUUUUUACGGCUUUCUAGCUAGGGCUUGAGAAGCUCCCAAGGAACGCAGGACCUAUAUCUAUAUCUCACUUAUAACGAGAUGGUAGCUCCCCUCAUCAGCAGCAGCAGAGAGCUCUGAUUUGACACUCGGGUGAAGCAAGAGAGCAAGUGCAGAAGAGAGAUGGGGUCCCCUCGCCGCAUGUCCGUCGCGCCCACCGCCCUCCUCAUCCUACUCCUCCUCGUCGCCACGGGUACAUCCGGCGAGCUUCCUCCCUUCCAUCAAUCGAGCAACUAUAAACUGUAAUUAAUCACCGGCGCUUAAUUGCUUUGUGUGGUGGUUGCAUUGCAGAGAUGGGGACGAUGAAGGUGGUGGAGGCCCGGACGUGCCAGUCGAGGAGCCACAAAUUCAAGGGCGGCUGCUUCAGCGACAGCAAUUGCGCCAACGUGUGCCACACCGAGAACUUCCCCCGCGGGACCAUGGCGUUGGCGCUGGCGUUGCUGCCCAUCAUUGAAACGCCAAGGGACCAUGGCGUUGCUCCCCUUAACAAAUAAGUGACAAUAAAAGAACUUGCUCCAAACGCCACACACUUUGGCGUUUCACACUUGGGAACAAACGCCACACAUGCUGGCGUUCCCAGCAACGCCACAAGGGCUGGCGUUUCUACAUUGAAACCUAGCUAUUUGACCAGGCCAGCAACGCUGCCUAGUUCGGCGUUUUUAAAUAGAGCAGAAACGCCACGGCUAGCGGCGUUACCAAAAGGGUUAGAUCGUGAAAUAGUUUUCGAAGGAGUUCAUUUUGUGCCAAGAUUUGCUAAGAAGGUCAAAACAGUGAAAAAGCCCCAUUACGUCGAGCCCAAGUGCUACUGCGAGCGGGAUUGUUGACCUUAGGAUGACCAGAAAUAAAGAAGCUCCAUCGGUGUUGCAUCUUCAUCUUCAUGCAUGCAUACAUGCAUGUUGUUUAGGUGAAGAUCGGGCCUGGCUCCGGCGUGUUUGCGGCUUCAAUUAGUUUGUGAGGUUAAUUAUACUAAUAACGAUGCAAGCCACUGAUGCAUGUGGCUUAUAUGUGUUGUGAUGUGUUGUUUCUAUGUGUUGUUGUGUUGGAUUCAGUCAAUCUGCAGAUAGUUGGUUUGUCUUUUUUUUUCAAAAGGAUCAGAUCUGUUACGAUAUAGAUUCACCGGAUUCCGUACAAAGCAACCCUGAAAUAAUUAAAAAAACAUCAAAGUCC
RNAcentral lists this long non-coding RNA (28445 nucleotides) under Triticum aestivum (bread wheat). Its description in RNAcentral is "long non-coding RNA (TAES_LNC016479)". Lineage: Eukaryota; Viridiplantae; Streptophyta; Magnoliopsida; Poales; Poaceae. The record is from RNAcentral.